CCUACGGGGGGCAGCAGUGGGGAAUAUUGCACAAUGGGGGAAACCCUGAUGCAGCAACGCCGCGUGAGUGAAGAAGUAUUUCGGUAUGUAAAGCUCUAUCAGCAGGGAAGAAGAAAGACGGUACCUGACUAAGAAGCCCCGGCUAACUACGUGCCAGCAGCCGCGGUAAUACGUAGGGGGCAAGCGUUAUCCGGAUUUACUGGGUGUAAAGGGAGCGUAGACGGCUGUGCAAGUCUGAAGUGAAAGCCCGUGGCUCAACCGCGGAACUGCUUUGGAAACUGUAUAGCUUGAGUGCUGGAGAGGCAGGCGGAAUUCCUAGUGUAGCGGUGAAAUGCGUAGAUAUUAGGAGGAACACCAGUGGCGAAGGCGGACUGCUGGACAGAAACUGACGUUGAGGCUCGAAAGCGUGGGGAGCAAACAGGAUUAGAUACCCCAGUAGUC
Molecule: ribosomal RNA, 441 nt
Filed under: uncultured bacterium
Lineage: Bacteria
Description: partial 16S ribosomal RNA
Rfam family: Bacterial small subunit ribosomal RNA
Source: RNAcentral